Molecule: ribosomal RNA, 395 nt
Filed under: uncultured bacterium
Lineage: Bacteria
Description: partial 16S ribosomal RNA
Rfam family: Bacterial small subunit ribosomal RNA
Source: RNAcentral
AUACGUAGGUGGCAAGCGUUGUCCGGAAUUAUUGGGCGUAAAGCGCGCGCAGGUGGUUCCUUAAGUCUGAUGUGAAAGCCCCCGGCUCAACCGGGGAGGGUCAUUGGAAACUGGGGAACUUGAGUGCAGAAGAGGAUAGUGGAAUUCCAAGUGUAGCGGUGAAAUGCGUAGAGAUUUGGAGGAACACCAGUGGCGAAGGCGACUGUCUGGUCUGUAACUGACACUGAGGCGCGAAAGCGUGGGGAGCAAACAGGAUUAGAUACCCUGGUAGUCCACGCCGUAAACGAUAAGUGCUAAGUGUUGGGGGGUUUCCGCCCCUCAGUGCUGCAGCUAACGCAUUAAGCACUCCGCCUGGGGAGUACGGUCGCAAGACUGAAACUCAAAUGAAUUGACGG